This 427-nucleotide unclassified non-coding RNA is filed under the name Hevea brasiliensis (rubber tree). The record is from RNAcentral. Lineage: Eukaryota; Viridiplantae; Streptophyta; Magnoliopsida; Malpighiales; Euphorbiaceae.
GGAAAUUUGACGGACUCUAGUAAGUUUAUCACAAUACAAGAUUAUUGUGGACAAGAGACAAAUUUCAGGUAGAGACACAGAGUGCUUGCUCAAUUUUGUUGGCCGUAAGCUGGAGGGUAGAGUUCCUAAAGGAAUUGGCAUCCUGCAAUUUCCACCCUUCAAUCGGAUCACAAACAAAUGACCCUUCGAUCUUACACCUCUUUUGAUCUCCUGCUCCGUCUCCACUGAUUGGCAAUACUUCGAAUGUGGCCGUAUACGAAUUAUAUCCCAUGUUAUUUUCAAUGAUCCCGUAGCUUAGAAACCGUUCAACAGUAUUUAUCAUGAUGAGUUUCUCUUUGGCCCAAUUGAUGAUGUUCCCACCUGUGCUGUCGGAGGAUGCUUGUGGCUUGAAAGCGCAGUAGCGGAUGAGGCCAGGCUUGCCUAGCUC